Molecule: ribosomal RNA, 431 nt
Filed under: uncultured bacterium
Lineage: Bacteria
Description: bacterial SSU rRNA
Rfam family: Bacterial small subunit ribosomal RNA
Source: RNAcentral
GAUGAACGCUGGCGGCGUGCUUAACACAUGCAAGUCGAACGAAGCACUUUAUUUGAUUUCCUUCGGGACUGAUUAUUUUGUGACUGAGUGGCGGACGGGUGAGUAACGCGUGGGUAACCUGCCUUGUACAGGGGGAUAACAGUUGGAAACGGCUGCUAAUACCGCAUAAGCGCACAGCAUCGCAUGAUGCAGUGUGAAAAACUCCGGUGGUAUAAGAUGGACCCGCGUUGGAUUAGCUAGUUGGUGAGGUAACGGCCCACCAAGGCGACGAUCCAUAGCCGACCUGAGAGGGUGACCGGCCACAUUGGGACUGAGACACGGCCCAAACUCCUACGGGAGGCAGCAGUGGGGAAUAUUGCACAAUGGGCGAAAGCCUGAUGCAGCGACGCCGCGUGAGCGAAGAAGUAUUUCGGUAUGUAAAGCUCUAUCAG